GGUCUAAUGGUCUAAUGGUUAUGACUGCGGAUUCUGAUUCCGCCAGCCCAGGUUCGAUUCCUGGUUGGACCU
Verticillium longisporum is the source of this 72-nucleotide transfer RNA. It matches the Rfam family "tRNA". From Rfam's summary of the family: Transfer RNA (tRNA) molecules are approximately 80 nucleotides in length. Their secondary structure includes four short double-helical elements and three loops (D, anti-codon, and T loops). Lineage: Eukaryota; Fungi; Ascomycota; Sordariomycetes; Glomerellales; Plectosphaerellaceae. The record is from Rfam.